UAGUCAAUGCCCAUGCCCAGC
This 21-nucleotide non-coding RNA is filed under the name Caenorhabditis elegans. The record is from RNAcentral. Lineage: Eukaryota; Metazoa; Nematoda; Chromadorea; Rhabditida; Rhabditidae.